Molecule: ribosomal RNA, 274 nt
Filed under: uncultured bacterium
Lineage: Bacteria
Description: partial 16S ribosomal RNA
Rfam family: Bacterial small subunit ribosomal RNA
Source: RNAcentral
AUACGGAGGGUGCAAGCGUUAAUCGGAAUUACUGGGCGUAAAGCGCGCGUAGGCGGCUUUGUAAGUCGGAUGUGAAAGCCCUGGGCUUAACCUGGGAAUGGCAUUCGAUACUGCAGAGCUAGAGUAUGGUAGAGGGAAGUGGAAUUUCCGGUGUAGCGGUGAAAUGCGUAGAUAUCGGAAGGAACACCAGUGGCGAAGGCGACUUCCUGGGCCAAUACUGACGCUGAGGUGCGAAAGCGUGGGGAGCAAACAGGAUUAGAAACCCCAGUAGUCC